RNAcentral lists this ribosomal RNA (236 nucleotides) under uncultured bacterium. Its description in RNAcentral is "partial 16S ribosomal RNA". It matches the Rfam family "Bacterial small subunit ribosomal RNA", at positions 113 to 334 of the family's 1533-position model. The record is from RNAcentral.
CAACGUAGGUAAUCUACCUUCGGAUGGGGAAUAACAAUCGGAAACGGUUGCUAAUACCGCAUAAUGCAGCGGCACCUAAUGGUGACAGUUGUUAAAGCGGGGGAUCGAAAGACCUCGCGUCUGAAGAGGAGCCUGCGGCGGAUUAGCUAGUUGGUAAGGUAAUGGCUUACCAAGGCGACGAUCCGUAACCGGCCCGAGAGGGCGGUCGGUCACACUGACACUGACAUACGGGUCAG